GAUGAACGCUGGCGGCGUGCCUAAUACAUGCAAGUCGAGCGAACGGACGAGAAGCUUGCUUCUCUGAUGUUAGCGGCGGACGGGUGAGUAACACGUGGAUAACCUACCUAUAAGACUGGGAUAACUUCGGGAAACCGGAGCUAAUACCGGAUAAUAUUUUGAACCGCAUGGUUCAAAAGUGAAAGACGGUCUUGCUGUCACUUAUAGAUGGAUCCGCGCUGCAUUAGCUAGUUGGUAAGGUAACGGCUUACCAAGGCAACGAUGCAUAGCCGACCUGAGAGGGUGAUCGGCCACACUGGAACUGAGACACUGCCCAGACUCCUACGGGAGGCAGCAGUAGGGAAUCUUCCGCAAUGGGUGAAAGCCUGACGGAGCAACGCCGCGUGAGUGAUGAAGGUCUUCGGAUCGUAAAACUCUGUUAUUAGGGAAGAACAUAUGUGUAAGUAACUGUGCACAUCUUGACGGUACCUAAUCAGAAAGCCACGGCUAACUACGUGCCAGCAGCCGCGGUAAUACGUAGGUGGCAAGCGUUAUCCGGAAUUAUUGGGCGUAAAGCGCGCGUAGGCGGUUUUUUAGGUCUGAUGUGAAAGCCCACGGCUCAACCGUGGAGGGUCAUUGGAAACUGGAAAACUUGAGUGCAGAAGAGGAAAGUGGAAUUCCAUGUGUAGCGGUGAAAUGCGCAGAGAUAUGGAGGAACACCAGUGGCGAAGGCGACUUUCUGGUCUGUAACUGACGCUGAUGUGCGAAAGCGUGGGGAUCAAACAGG
RNAcentral lists this ribosomal RNA (766 nucleotides) under Staphylococcus aureus. RNAcentral describes it as "bacterial SSU rRNA". It matches the Rfam family "Bacterial small subunit ribosomal RNA", at positions 28 to 776 of the family's 1533-position model. Lineage: Bacteria; Bacillati; Bacillota; Bacilli; Caryophanales; Staphylococcaceae. The record is from RNAcentral.